AAUGAAGGUCUUCGGAUCGUAAACUUCUGUCAUUUGAGAACAAGUGUCGAAGCAAUAACUGGCUCCGAUUUGAUAGUACCAAAAGAGGAAGAGACGGCUAACUCUGUGCCAGCAGCCGCGGUAAUACAGGGGUCUCAAGCGUUGUUCGGAUUCAUUGGGCGUAAAGGGUGCGUAGGCGGCGCCGUAAGUCGGAUGUGAAAUCCCGAAGCUCAACUUCGGAACUGCAUUCGAUACUGCGGUGCUGGAGGACUGGAGAGGAGAUCGGAAUUCAUGGUGUAGCAGUGAAAUGCGUAGAUAUCAUGAGGAAGACCAGUGGCGAAGGCGGAUCUCUGGACAGUUCCUGACGCUGAGGCACGAAGGCUAGGGUAGCGAACGGGAUUAGAUACCCCGGUAGUCCUAGCAGUAAACGGUGCACGUUUGGUGUGGGAGGAUUCGACCCCUUCCGUGCCGGAGCUAACGCGUUAAACGUGCCGCCUGGGGAGUACGAUCGCAAGAUUA
This 498-nucleotide ribosomal RNA is filed under the name uncultured Verrucomicrobiota bacterium. Its description in RNAcentral is "bacterial SSU rRNA". It matches the Rfam family "Bacterial small subunit ribosomal RNA", at positions 407 to 896 of the family's 1533-position model. The record is from RNAcentral. Lineage: Bacteria; Pseudomonadati; Verrucomicrobiota.